RNAcentral lists this ribosomal RNA (472 nucleotides) under uncultured bacterium. Its description in RNAcentral is "bacterial SSU rRNA". It matches the Rfam family "Bacterial small subunit ribosomal RNA", at positions 355 to 825 of the family's 1533-position model. The record is from RNAcentral.
UGGGGAAUAUUGGACAAUGGGCGAAAGCCUGAUCCAGCCAUGCCGCGUGUGUGAAGAAGGUCUUCGGAUUGUAAAGCACUUUAAGUUGGGAGGAAGGGCAGUAAGUUAAUACCUUGCUGUUUUGACGUUACCGACAGAAUAAGCACCGGCUAACUCUGUGCCAGCAGCCGCGGUAAUACAGAGGGUGCAAGCGUUAAUCGGAAUUACUGGGCGUAAAGCGCGCGUAGGUGGUUUGUUAAGUUGGAUGUGAAAUCCCCGGGCUCAACCUGGGAACUGCAUUCAAAACUGACAAGCUAGAGUAUGGUAGAGGGUGGUGGAAUUUCCUGUGUAGCGGUGAAAUGCGUAGAUAUAGGAAGGAACACCAGUGGCGAAGGCGACCACCUGGACUGAUACUGACACUGAGGUGCGAAAGCGUGGGGAGCAAACAGGAUUAGAUACCCAUGUAGUCCCUGAGCGGGCUGGCAAGGCGCAU